RNAcentral lists this unclassified non-coding RNA (4850 nucleotides) under Homarus americanus (American lobster). Its description in RNAcentral is "serine/threonine-protein kinase OSR1-like, transcript variant X1". The record is from RNAcentral. Lineage: Eukaryota; Metazoa; Arthropoda; Malacostraca; Decapoda; Nephropidae.
AGCCCGUUUUAACGAGGGUCGACUGUACAUCAUAGGGCAAACGUUUAUCUGUGCCAUAAAUGAUGUAGUAGGGUGAUUGGCCCGUGGAGCUAUUGAUUGACCCAUUAAUCGAGGCUGUAACUGGAGGUAACCAAUCUAACCAUGCCAUGUGCAUUGGAUUCAUGAUACAGUAUGUCGAAGAAUCUCAGGGAUUUUACAAUUGGUUCUUUCAACCAGCCCAUUCACCUGUGGUUGAUAAGCUGUGAUGAAUCUGUUGGAUGCUUUAUUGCAGGUAAAUUUGUGCAAAAAGUUGAUUUUUAAACUCUGAUCUGUUGUCGGAUAGAAGAACCUUAGAUGUGGUGAAUGGGCAUAUCAGAUGCAUCACUAGAGCGUGAGCUACUGCCUCGGCAUAUUUAUCCUGCACAGGGGCUAAAAUUACAAAUCUGGAGAAGUGAUCCACAGCUAGUUGAACGGACGUUCUGGUGCAGGAUAUUGUAGCAUUGGAGCAGGUGGAAUAGUGGUACUCUUGUGUGGAGAACACAAUGUGUUGCUCAAUGUCUUUUCAUAUUAAUAUAAAUGUUACUGUGUUAGAGCAGGGGCUAUUACAAGGAGGGCCAGGGGAAGGCAGGGGUAGGAGGGCUAUGGGAAGACAGGAGUAGGGGAAGUCACUGUACAAGCCAUCCUUGAUUUACAAAAGAGUUCCAUUAGUGAAGAAAAAACUUCGUAAAUCAAAACUUUUGUAAACAUAGCCUUGGUGAAUCGAUAAAUGCCUGUACUUGUGUGUGUGUUCUGCUGGUGGAUGAUCCCCACUCCACAGUAUACCCCUCUUGCUCUCAACUUUAUAACAGUAACAAAACUGUUUUCUCCGCAGCAGAGUCGAAGUCGGCAACCUGGGGCUUCUGGUCGCCUACAUCGAACACAGACUGGUGACUGGGUGUGGUCCAGUGACGAGGGAGAUGAUAAAGAUUCGGAAGAGGCUGACAAAAUAUCUACAAGUAGUUGUGAAAGUGGUGGAGAGAAGCCGCCAUCACAACCAGAAGCUCCUUCACCACCGACUCAACCAUCCCAUUCUCCACAAGCACAGCCGCAGGAGCCACAGCCACUGCAGCCAAGUACGGCGGUGGUAACGCAGCCGCCACAGUCGCAACAGCAAGCAGUACAACACCAGAGCAACCCCUCCCAACAGCCACUCCUACUUCAACAACCACAACCUCCACUAAAUUAUCAGCCCCAAGUGGUGGCACAGUACCAGCAGCCCAUCCCUGCCACGGUGCCCCCCCAGGCGUACACACCACAGUACAUGCAGCCGGUGCCGACCAUCCCUCAGUCACAAGCUCAUUCAUUACCUCCCCAGUCUUACCCUAUCCAGAACAUUCCCCAACAGACUGUGGGAGUGUUGCCCCAACAGGUGGCCAACAUGGUACCAGUGUCAGGCAUGGUACAAGACAUCAUGAUGGCCGCUCCAAUGGCCCCAGUCGUGCCCACCAGCAUACCAGGAGGUGUGUCCUUCCCUCAAGGAGUGCCUGAUGUAGUAGGUCAGGGCAUGAUCCAGCCAGUGCCUGUACCUGUAGUGCCUCAGGUGGUUGGAGGCGCCACUGACUGCUAUGUGGCACCUCCCAUCCACCAAGUUUCUGUUGAUAAUGACCCCAUCAACUUGGUGCUCAGAGUCAGGAACCAGAAGAGAGAACUUAAUGACAUCCGGUUUGAGUUCACCGUUGGACGAGACACCUCGGAGGGCGUUGCCUCAGAGUUAGUAGCAGCUGGACUGGUAGAUGGUCGAGACUUAGUCGUUAUUGCUGCUAACUUAGACAAGAUUACACAACAUCCUGAAAUGGGGCAAAACCUAACUUUUAGAUUGAAUUCAGAUUGUGAGCCUAAUGAAGCACCAGACGAUAAGGCAUUAAUAGGAUUUGCUCAGCUAACAAUCUCCGACUGACGAGAUCGCAUGGGCUUCCCCGACACAUGGUCAGCCCAGGGUCCUCUGCACCUUUUAGGACGGCCCGACGUGUCGACCAGGAGGCAAAGCAACAGUCGUAGUGUGAUUUGUGAUGAUCAAAAAUUCAUUUUAGUAUUUUUUCAUAGUGUAGGAGUUUUUUUCAAACGUGUAGUAAAAUUCUGGAAAUGAGAGGGAAAUGUUUUUUGUAAAUUGCAACAUAUUCUGUGAUGUGUAAAGGAGAUUCUCAUCUCCCUUAUAAGACUUUUGAUUACAUUUUUCAGUUGUGCGGUUUUCAUAUAGUGCAAUACAAUUUCCUGAGCAGUUAUAUUUGCAUUAUAAUAAUCAUAUUUGCUCUGAUUCUUAAGUAACUGUCAAUAUUUUCUUGUAAUAAGUUAUGGUUUACCAAGUUUAUAUUGCAUGUCUUUAAUGGAGGGAGACGCACCUGUCACCACACUGGGGAGGCAAUCAGUUGCUGUUAGUUACAGUAGUUAGUUUAUGGUCAUGUUAUCGAUCAGGUCCAUCAGGUCUUGUUAUCGAUCAGGUCCAUCAGGUCUUGUUAUCGAUCAGGUUCAUCAGGUCUUGUUAUUGAUCAGGUCCAUCAAGUCAUGUUACUAGGGGUCACCUCAUAUUGGUCUAGUGUGGGGAAGGUGCACCUGCCAUGGCCGCCACACUUCCAGCUUCAUGAGAUCACCAAAAUCUAUGUUUAUUACACCUGUAGUUUACUGAUUAUUGUUAUAAGAAGUAAGAUUUAGUCAUGGCACCAUAUACAGUACAUGGUGUGGGAGGUGGAUGAUGAUAACUGGUGGAGGGAGUACAUGGUGUGGGAGGUGGAUGAUGAUAACUGGUGGAGGGAGUACAUGGUGUGGGAGGUGGACGAUGAUAACUGGUGGAGGGAGUACAUGGUGUGGGAGGUGGACGAUGAUAACUGGUGGAGGGAGUACAUGGUGUGGGAGGUGGAUGAUGAUAACUGGUGGAGGGAGUACAUGGUGUGGGAGGUGGAUGAUGUUAACUGGUGGAGGGAGUGCAUGGUGUGGAUGAUGAUAGCUGGUGGAGGGAGUACAUGGUGUGGGAGGUGGAUGAUGAUAACUGGUGGAGGGAGUACAUGGUGUGGGAGGUGGAUGAUGAUAACUGGUGGAGGGAAUACAUGGCGUGGGAGGUGGAUGAUGAUAACUGGUGGAGGGAGUACAUGGUGUGGGAGGUGGAUGAUGAUAGCUGGUGGAGGGAGUACAUGGUGUGUAUAAAGGAAGAGUAUAUAGAUAGAAUAAACAUAUAUACAGUUCAGAUUAAUUAAGAAGCUAUGUAAGUCAGGUUUUGUUGUAUCAGUGAAGAAAAUAGACAUUGGUAACCAUUGGUAUUUUCUUUGUGGGGAAUUUAGGUUUGUUUGCAAUAAUUUUUAAUUGAUAACAGCUGAACUUGCAUACACGGUUUUCUUCCCAUUCACACUCAUACAGUGUAAGUUGUUGAUGAAGUGACGUCCUCCCUUCUGUCUCAAGUAGUGUACUCUUGGUCAAAAGCACAUUAAGAUUCAUUUCUAAUGUCAUUUAACUGUUACAGUAAUUUAAUUUUUUAGAGAAAGUUAAUAUUAAUUACAAGUGUUAAUAUUGAAAACAUUUAAUUGUUCGUCCAUUAACGUCUGUGUUAGUUUUUUCUUCAGUUGAUUGAAUUUAUUCCAGUUAAUUUGCUGUAUUAAGCCCCAGGGGAAAGUUUACUAGUGUUAAGGGAUGCCAGUUAGUUACAUUCUUGUUCAUCAACAUAUAGUAGGAAGCAUAAAUAUAUGUCCUCAUUGCUCAUGAAUCAUAUCAUUGUCAUGUGUGUGGUGUUAUGUAAUCUAUUGUUGGUGAAGAAAUUUGUAAUGCAGUAUUUUCACAAUGAUGGUGUUGGUUUGACAGCAGCAGGUAGUGUUGACCCAAGAUGGCCUUACCCUGCACCCUUUCCUUGUAGUCAUCAUCCUGCACUACUCUGCUCUACUUCUGUUUUCCCACUUUGAUAGAUUUUGGAAUUUUUACAAAAAGAUGGUAAUGUGCAGAAUUUUUACACAAACUCGGACAUAAUAUAAUGUUAAACCGUUCGAGUUAAAGGUGAUAUACACGUGUUAAGAAUCGGCAUAUUAUGAUUCCAAAAUAAAUGAUAAUUUCUUGUAGUGAAUGAGGGUAGGAGCCCCUGGGUGAUACUGCACACUCAAGUCUGGUACAGUAUAGAUGAGUAUACUUCUUCAUGAUAAUUUUCUUUCAUACAUGAUAUACUUUUUGGAUAUAUUACUGUAUUUAAAUGCUAAACAUGUAAUAUAUGACUAUAUUUUAAGAGAGAUGCAUACCGCCCAGGGUCUUGUCCUACCCUGAUGUACUUGCAGCUGUUCAAGUCAUUGGAUGUAGUGAUGCACACGACGAAUAUUAAGCUGAAUGGGUAGUAUUUAUAGCCACGUUUUCCUUAACUAUACUGUAUAGAUAAAUCACUUGAUCUCUCACAAAAACCUAAGGGUUUAGAAGUGUCUUGUUUAGUGAUAAUAGCCAGUGAAAGACGAAAUGUUAUUGUGUACAGCUUAUUGAAUAAGAGGUUAAUACACUUGUAAAAUAUGACCCAAAUUGUGAAGAGUAAAGAAAGCACAUCUUUGUCCUCGCAGGUAUUCUGAGUGUGAGUCAUAUCCUUGUUAUUGCCUGUGAUGUUUUUGAUUAUGAGGUAAUGGAAAAUUUUCUUUGAAGCCUUAAACAGUGUUGCUGUAGAAUAAUUUAGUGAUUAUCGAUAUAUGAAACAACAUAUUUGACAUAAUUAAUGCCAUAAGCAGCACCAUAAUUGAUUCAUUUGGGUAAUUUUUAUUGGACUCUUUACUGUUUUUAGGAUUUUUGGUGGUAGAGGAAGGAUGGUGGUGUGUGAUGAUGUAACAAUAGUGGUGGUAGAGGAAGGAUGGUGGUGUGUGAUGAUGUAACAAUAGUGGUGG